Molecule: ribosomal RNA, 301 nt
Filed under: uncultured bacterium
Lineage: Bacteria
Description: partial 16S ribosomal RNA
Rfam family: Bacterial small subunit ribosomal RNA
Source: RNAcentral
CAGUCGCCGCGGUAAAACGUAGGUGGCAAGCGUUGUCCGGAAUUAUUGGGCGUAAAGGGCUCGCAGGCGGUUUCUUAAGUCUGAUGUGAAAGCCCCCGGCUCAACCGGGGAGGGUCAUUGGAAACUGGGAAACUUGAGUGCAGAAGAGGAGAGUGGAAUUCCACGUGUAGCGGUGAAAUGCGUAGAGAUGUGGAGGAACACCAGUGGCGAAGGCGACUCUCUGGUCUGUAACUGACGCUGAGGAGCGAAAGCGUGGGGAGCGAACAGGAUUAGAUACCCCCGUAGUCCCUGUCUCUUAUAA